UCGCGCUCGCGCGCGCGCGCGAGGCGCGACGCGGGAGCGGCGCCCGCACGGUAGACGACGGCGCGGCCGAGGCGCGCCGAGCUCCGCUGCCUGCGCCGCGGCGGCGACGGCGGCGGCGGCGGCGAGGUGAGGUGGGCGGAGAAGCGGAGAGGCCGAG
This 157-nucleotide small RNA is filed under the name Oryza sativa Japonica Group (Japanese rice). Its description in RNAcentral is "sRNA Os02g0787400". The record is from RNAcentral. Lineage: Eukaryota; Viridiplantae; Streptophyta; Magnoliopsida; Poales; Poaceae.